GUGGGGAAUCUUAGACAAUGGGGGAAACCCUGAUCUAGCCAUGCCGCGUGAGCGAUGAAGGCCUUAGGGUUGUAAAGCUCUUUCAGAUGGGAAGAUAAUGACGGUACCAUCAGAAGAAGCCCCGGCUAACUCCGUGCCAGCAGCCGCGGUAAUACGGAGGGGGCUAGCGUUGUUCGGAAUUACUGGGCGUAAAGCGCACGUAGGCGGACCAGAAAGUCAGAGGUGAAAUCCCAGGGCUCAAACUUGGAACUGCCUUUGAAACUCCUGGUCUUGAGGUCGAGAGAGGUGAGUGGAAUUCCGAGUGUAGAGGGGAAAUUCGUAGAUAUUCGGAGGAACACCAGUGGCGAAGGCGGCUCACUGGCUCGAUACUGACGCUGAGGUGCGAAAGCGUGGGGAGCAAACAGGAUUAGAUACCCCGGUAGUCC
This 425-nucleotide ribosomal RNA is filed under the name uncultured bacterium. Its description in RNAcentral is "bacterial SSU rRNA". It matches the Rfam family "Bacterial small subunit ribosomal RNA", at positions 354 to 796 of the family's 1533-position model. The record is from RNAcentral.